GACGAACGCUGGCGGCGUGCUUAACACAUGCCAGUCGAACGCUGAAGCUUGGUGCUUGCACUGGGUGGAUGAGUGGCGAACGGGUGAGUAAUACGUGAGUAACCUGCCCUUGACUCUGGGAUAAGCCUGGGAAACUGGGUCUAAUACUGGAUACGACAUGUCACCGCAUGGUGGCGUGUGGAAAGGGUUUUACUGGUUUUGGAUGGGCUCACGGCCUAUCAGCUUGUUGGUGGGGUAAUGGCUCACCAAGGCGACGACGGGUAGCCGGCCUGAGAGGGUGACCGGCCACACUGGGACUGAGACACGGCCCAGACUCCUACGGGAGGCAGCAGUGGGGAAUAUUGCACAAUGGGCGAAAGCCUGAUGCAGCGACGCCGCGUGAGGGAUGACGGCCUUCGGGUUGUAAACCUCUUUCAGCACGGAAGAAGCGAAAGUGACGGUACGUGCAGAAGAAGCGCCGGCUAACUACGUG
RNAcentral lists this ribosomal RNA (472 nucleotides) under uncultured bacterium. RNAcentral's name for it is "partial 16S ribosomal RNA". It matches the Rfam family "Bacterial small subunit ribosomal RNA", at positions 28 to 507 of the family's 1533-position model. The record is from RNAcentral.